RNAcentral lists this ribosomal RNA (295 nucleotides) under Septoglomus furcatum. RNAcentral's name for it is "partial small subunit ribosomal RNA". It matches the Rfam family "Eukaryotic small subunit ribosomal RNA", at positions 569 to 864 of the family's 1831-position model. The record is from RNAcentral. Lineage: Eukaryota; Fungi; Glomeromycota; Glomeromycetes; Glomerales; Glomeraceae.
AGCAGCCGCGGUAAUUCCAGCUCUAAUAGCGUAUAUUAAAGUUGUUGCGGUUAAAAAGCUCGUAGUUGGAUUUUGGGGUCUCUACCGUCGGUCCGGUGUAAACCGCGUACUGACAGUUGGGUCCUUCUGUCUGGAGACGCCGGACGUGCUUCUUCAUUGAGUGCGGUCGGUGGAUCUAGGACUUUUACUUUGAACAAAUUAGAGUGUUUAAAGCAGGCCUCCGCCUGAAUACAUUAGCAUGGAAUAAUGAAAUAGGACAUCCGAUUCUAUUUUGUUGGUUUCUAGGAUCGAUGUA